UCCCUGGUGGUCCAGUGGCUAAGACUCUGUACUUUCAAUGCAGGGUCCGUGGGUUCCAUCCCUGGUUGGGGAA
This 73-nucleotide transfer RNA is filed under the name Ovis aries (sheep). It matches the Rfam family "tRNA". Rfam says of the family: Transfer RNA (tRNA) molecules are approximately 80 nucleotides in length. Their secondary structure includes four short double-helical elements and three loops (D, anti-codon, and T loops). Further hydrogen bonds mediate the characteristic L-shaped molecular structure. tRNAs have two regions of fundamental functional importance: the anti-codon, which is responsible for specific mRNA codon recognition, and the 3' end, to which the tRNAs corresponding amino acid is attached (by aminoacyl-tRNA synthetases). tRNAs cope with the degeneracy of the genetic code in two manners: having more than one tRNA (with a specific anti-codon) for a particular amino acid; and 'wobble' base-pairing, i.e. permitting non-standard base-pairing at the 3rd anti-codon position. The record is from Rfam by way of RNAcentral. Lineage: Eukaryota; Metazoa; Chordata; Mammalia; Artiodactyla; Bovidae.